GCUANAAUCUCUACGGAGAAAAGCAGGGGAUCGCAAGACCUUGCGCUCUUGGAGCGGCCGAUGUCUGAUUAGCUAGUUGGUGAGGUAAAGGCUUACCAAGGCGACGAUCAGUAGCUGGUCUGAGAGGACGACCAGCCACACUGGGACUGAGACACGGCCCAGACUCCUACGGGAGGCAGCAGUGGGGAAUUUUGGGCAAUGGGGGAAACCCUGAUCCAGCCAUGCCGCGUGAGUGAAGAAGGCCUUCGGGUUGUAAAGCUCUUUCAGCCGGAACGAAACGGUCAUGGCUAAUACCUGUGACUACUGACGGUACCGGAAGAAGAAG
Molecule: ribosomal RNA, 325 nt
Filed under: Nitrosospira sp.
Lineage: Bacteria; Pseudomonadati; Pseudomonadota; Betaproteobacteria; Nitrosomonadales; Nitrosomonadaceae
Description: bacterial SSU rRNA
Rfam family: Bacterial small subunit ribosomal RNA
Source: RNAcentral